This 506-nucleotide ribosomal RNA is filed under the name uncultured bacterium. Its description in RNAcentral is "bacterial SSU rRNA". It matches the Rfam family "Bacterial small subunit ribosomal RNA", at positions 15 to 518 of the family's 1533-position model. The record is from RNAcentral.
GAUCAUGGCUCAGGAUGAACGCUGGCGGCGUGCCUAAUACAUGCAAGUCGAACGAGGUAGCAAUACCUAGUGGCGAACGGGUGAGUAACACGUAGGUAACCUGCCCUUAAGCUUGGGAUACCCAGAGGAAACUUUGGCUAAUGCCGGAUAACAACUGAGAUCGCAUGAUCUUAGCUUGAAAGGCCCUUUCGGGUCACUUAAGGAUGGACCUGCGGCGCAUUAGCUAGUUGGUGAGAUAACAGCCCACCAAGGCGAGGAUGCGUAGCCGAACUGAGAGGUUGAUCGGCCACAUUGGAACUGAGACACGGUCCAAACUCCUACGGGAGGCAGCAGUAAGGAGUUUUCGGCAAUGGGGGAAACCCUGACCGAGCAACGCCGCGUGAGCGAUGACGGCCCUAAUGGGUUGUAAAGCUCUGUUGUAAGCCAAGAAUGGUAGUGCUAGGAAAUGAGCAUUACUUGACGGUAGCUUACCAGAAAGCCACGGCUAACUACGUGCCAGCAGCUGC